Molecule: ribosomal RNA, 232 nt
Filed under: uncultured bacterium
Lineage: Bacteria
Description: partial 16S ribosomal RNA
Rfam family: Bacterial small subunit ribosomal RNA
Source: RNAcentral
GACGAACGCUGGCGGCGUGCUUAACACAUGCAAGUCGAGCGGUAAGGCCCUUUCGGGGUACGACGAGCGGCGAACGGGUGAGUAACACGUGGGUGACCUGCCCUCAGCUCUGGGAUAAGCCUGGGAAACCGGGGUCUAAUACCGGAUAUGACUCCAUGACGCAUGUUGUGGGGUGGAAAGCCUUGUGCGGCUGAGGAUGGGCCCGCGGCCUAUCAGCUUGUUGGUGGGGGGA